GCCCUAGUAACGGCGAGUGAAGCGGCAACAGCUCAAAUUUGAAAUCUGGCUUCGGCCCGAGUUGUAAUUUGCAGAGGAAGCUUUAGGCGCGGCACCUUCUGAGUCCCCUGGAACGGGGCGCCAUAGAGGGUGAGAGCCCCGUAUAGUUGGAUGCCUAGCCUGUGUAAAGCUCCUUCGACGAGUCGAGUAGUUUGGGAAUGCUGCUCAAAAUGGGAGGUAAAUUUCUUCUAAAGCUAAAUACCGGCCAGAGACCGAUAGCGCACAAGUAGAGUGAUCGAAAGAUGAAAAGCACUUUGAAAAGAGGGUUAAACAGCACGUGAAAUUGUUGAAAGGGAAGCGCUUGUGACCAGACUUGCGCCAGGCUGAUCAUCCGGUGUUCUCACCGGUGCACUCGGCCCGGCACAGGCCAGCAUCGGUUCUCGCGGGGGGAUAAAGGUCUCGGGAACGUAGCUCCUCCGGGAGUGUUAUAGCCCGGGGCGUAAUGCCCUCGCGGGGACCGAGGUUCGCGCAUCUGCAAGGAUGCUGGCGUAAUGGUCAUCAGCGACCCGUCUUGAAACACGGACCAAGGAGUCAAGGUUUUGCGCGAGUGUUUGGGUGUCAAACCCGCACGCGUAAUGAAAGUGAACGUAGGUGAGAGCUUCGGCGCAUCAUCGACCGAUCCUGAUGUUUUCGGAUGGAUUUGAGUAGGAGCGUUAAGCCUUGGACCCGAAAGAUGGUGAACUAUGCUUGGAUAGGGUGAAGCCAGAGGAAACUCUGGUGGAGGCUCGCAGCGGUUCUGACGUGCAAAUCGAUCGUCAAAUCUGAGCAUGGGGGCGAAAGACUAAUCGAACCAU
This 833-nucleotide ribosomal RNA is filed under the name Chaetomium sp. Ch-1. RNAcentral describes it as "eukaryotic LSU rRNA". It matches the Rfam family "Eukaryotic large subunit ribosomal RNA", at positions 77 to 943 of the family's 3401-position model. Lineage: Eukaryota; Fungi; Ascomycota; Sordariomycetes; Sordariales; Chaetomiaceae. The record is from RNAcentral.